This 253-nucleotide ribosomal RNA is filed under the name uncultured bacterium. RNAcentral describes it as "partial 16S ribosomal RNA". It matches the Rfam family "Bacterial small subunit ribosomal RNA", at positions 524 to 776 of the family's 1533-position model. The record is from RNAcentral.
UACGGGGGGGGCAAGCGUUGUUCGGAAUUACUGGGCGUAAAGGGCGCGUAGGCGGCCUGUUAAGUCGGACGUGAAAUCCCUCGGCUCAACCGAGGAACUGCGUCCGAUACUGGUGGGCUUGAAUCCGGGAGAGGGAUGUGGAAUUCCAGGUGUAGCGGUGAAAUGCGUAGAUAUCUGGAGGAACACCGGUGGCGAAGGCGGCAUCCUGGACCGGUAUUGACGCUGAGGCGCGAAAGCUAGGGGAGCAAACGGG